UACAGAGGCCUCGAGCGUUAGGCGGAAUCACUGGGCUUAAAGCGUGUGUAGGCGGAUCGUUAAGUGCCUUGUGAAAUCCCACGGCUCAACCGUGGAACUGCUGGGCAUACUGGCGAUCUUGAGCCACCUAAGGGCAACUGGAACAGACGGUGGAGCGGUGAAAUGCGUAGAUAUCGUCUGGAACGCCAAUGGUGAAGACAGGUUGCUGGGGGUGCGCUGACGCUGAGACACGAAAGCCAGGGGAGCAAACGGG
This 253-nucleotide ribosomal RNA is filed under the name uncultured bacterium. RNAcentral's name for it is "partial 16S ribosomal RNA". It matches the Rfam family "Bacterial small subunit ribosomal RNA", at positions 524 to 776 of the family's 1533-position model. The record is from RNAcentral.